Molecule: ribosomal RNA, 253 nt
Filed under: uncultured bacterium
Lineage: Bacteria
Description: partial 16S ribosomal RNA
Rfam family: Bacterial small subunit ribosomal RNA
Source: RNAcentral
UACAGAGGUCUCAAGCGUUGUUCGGAAUUACUGGGCGUAAAGCGUGCGCAGGCGGCGCGUUAAGACAGGUGUGAAAGCCCCGAGCUUAACUUGGGAAUUGCGCUUGUGACUGGCGUGCUGGAGUGUGGCAGAGGGAGGUGGAAUUCCACGUGUAGCAGUGAAAUGCGUAGAGAUGUGGAGGAACACCGAUGGCGAAGGCAGCCUCCUGGGCCAGCACUGACGCUCAUGCACGAAAGCGUGGGGAGCAAACAGG